Molecule: ribosomal RNA, 489 nt
Filed under: uncultured bacterium
Lineage: Bacteria
Description: bacterial SSU rRNA
Rfam family: Bacterial small subunit ribosomal RNA
Source: RNAcentral
AUUGAACGCUGGCGGCAUGCUUUACACAUGCAAGUCGAACGGCAGCGGGGCUUCGGUCCGCCGGCGAGUGGCGAACGGGUGAGUAAUGCAUCGGAACGUGCCCACGUCGUGGGGGAUAACACAUCGAAAGAUGUGCUAAUACCGCAUACGUCCUGAGGGAGAAAGCGGGGGAUCUUCGGACCUCGCGCGAUUGGAGCGGCCGAUGUCAGAUUAGCUAGUUGGUGAGGUAAAAGCUCACCAAGGCAACGAUGGAUAGGGGAACUGAGAGGUUUAUCCCCCACACUGGUACUGAGACACGGACCAGACUCCUACGGGAGGCAGCAGUGAGGAAUAUUGGUCAAUGGACGCAAGUCUGAACCAGCCACGUCGCGUGAAGGAAGACGGCCCUACGGGUUGUAAACUUCUUUUGUAAGGGAAUAAAGUGUAGUACGCGUACUAUUUUGCAUGUACCUUACGAAUAAGGAUCGGCUAACUCCGUGCCAGCAGCCG